GAUUACCUCAGUAACGGCGAGUGAAGCGGUAACAGCUCAAAUUUGAAAUCUGGGUCUUUCAGGCUCCGAGUUGUAAUUUGUAGAAGAUGCUUUGGGUGCGGCCCCGGUCUAAGUUCCUUGGAACAGGACGUCAUAGAGGGUGAGAAUCCCGUAUGUGAUCGGUGGCUUGCGCCCGUGUAAAGCUCUUUCGACGAGUCGGGUUGUUUGGGAAUGCAGCUCUAAAUGGGUGGUAAAUUUCAUCUAAAGCUAAAUAUUGGCCAGAGACCGAUAGCGCACAAGUAGAGUGAUCGAAAGAUGAAAAGGACUUUGGAAAGAGAGUUAAACAGUACGUGAAAUUGUUGAAAGGGAAGCGCUUGCAACCAGACUUGCGCGGGGUUGAUCAUCCGGGGUUCUCCCCGGUGCACUCGGCCUCGCUCAGGCCAGCAUCGGUUUCGGUGGUUGGAUAAAGGCCUUGGGAAUGUGACUUCUUUCGGGGAGUGUUAUAGCCCUCGGUGCAAUGCAGCCUACCGGGACCGAGGACCGCGCUUCGGCUAGGAUGCUGGCGUAAUGGUUGUAAGCGACCCGUCUUGAAACACGGACCAAGGAGUCUAACAUCUAUGCGAGUGUUUGGGUGUCAAACCCAUACGCGUAAUGAAAGUGAACGGAGGUGAGAACCCUUAAGGGUGCAUCAUCGACCGAUCCUGAUGUCUUCGGAUGGAUUUGAGUAAGAGCAUAGCUGUUGGGACCCGAAAGAUGGUGAACUAUGCCUGAAUAGGGUGAAGCCAGAGGAAACUCUGGUGGAGGCUCGCAGCGGUUCUGACGUGCAAAUCGAUCGUCAAAUUUGGGCAUAGG
Molecule: ribosomal RNA, 831 nt
Filed under: Pezicula sporulosa
Lineage: Eukaryota; Fungi; Ascomycota; Leotiomycetes; Helotiales; Dermateaceae
Description: eukaryotic LSU rRNA
Rfam family: Eukaryotic large subunit ribosomal RNA
Source: RNAcentral